This 590-nucleotide ribosomal RNA is filed under the name uncultured bacterium. RNAcentral describes it as "partial 16S ribosomal RNA". It matches the Rfam family "Bacterial small subunit ribosomal RNA", at positions 355 to 928 of the family's 1533-position model. The record is from RNAcentral.
UGGGGAAUUUUGGACAAUGGGGGAAACCCUGAUCCAGCCAUCCCGCGUGUGCGAUGAAGGCCUUCGGGUUGUAAAGCACUUUUGGCAGGAAAGAAACGUCGCGGGUUAAUACCCCGCGAAACUGACGGUACCUGCAGAAUAAGCACCGGCUAACUACGUGCCAGCAGCCGCGGUAAUACGUAGGGUGCAAGCGUUAAUCGGAAUUACUGGGCGUAAAGCGUGCGCAGGCGGUUCGGAAAGAAAGAUGUGAAAUCCCAGAGCUUAACUUUGGAACUGCAUUUUUAACUACCGGGCUAGAGUGUGUCAGAGGGAGGUGGAAUUCCGCGUGAAGCAGUGAAAAUGCGUAGAUAUGCGGAGGAACACCGAUGGCGAAGGCAGCCUCCUGGGAUAACACUGACGCUCAUGCACGAAAAGCGUGGGGAGCAAAACAGGAUUAGAUACCCUGGUAGUCCACGCCCUAAAACGAUGUCAAACUAGCUGUUGGGGGCCUUCGGGCCGUUGGUAGCGCAGCUAACGCGUGAAGUUGACCGCCUGGGGAGUACGGUCGCAAGAUUAAAAACUCAAAAUGAAAUUGACGGGGGUCAUAGCUG